Molecule: transfer RNA, 71 nt
Filed under: Cordylochernes scorpioides
Lineage: Eukaryota; Metazoa; Arthropoda; Arachnida; Pseudoscorpiones; Chernetidae
Description: tRNA-Gly
Source: RNAcentral
UGCAUCGGCCGGGAAUCGAACCCAGGUCGCCCGCGUGGCAGGCGAGCAUUCUACCACUGAACCACCGAUGG